RNAcentral lists this ribosomal RNA (478 nucleotides) under uncultured bacterium. Its description in RNAcentral is "bacterial SSU rRNA". It matches the Rfam family "Bacterial small subunit ribosomal RNA", at positions 335 to 802 of the family's 1533-position model. The record is from RNAcentral.
ACUCCUACGGGAGGCAGCAGUGGGGAAUAUUGCACAAUGGGCGCAAGCCUGAUGCAGCCAUGCCGCGUGUAUGAAGAAGGCCUUCGGGUUGUAAAGUACUUUCAGCAGUGAGGAAAGGUGGGUGUAGUUAAGUANAUACCNCAUUUUGACGUUAGCUGCAGAAGAAGNACCGGCUAACUCCGUGCCAGCAGCCGCGGUAAUACGGAGGGUGCGAGCGUUAAUCGGAAUUACUGGGCGUAAAGCGCAUGCAGGUGGUUUGUUAAGUCAGAUGUGAAAGCCCGGGGCUCAACCUCGGAAUUGCAUUUGAAACUGGCAAACUAGAGUACUGUAGAGGGGGGUAGAAUUUCAGGUGUAGCGGUGAAAUGCGUAGAGAUCUGAAGGAAUACCGGUGGCGAAGGCGGCCCCCUGGACAGAUACUGACACUCAGAUGCGAAAGCGUGGGGAGCAAACAGGAUUAGAUACCCUGGUAGCUACGAGU